AUUCUGUAUUCAAAAGUGAUUUUAAAUUGCAAAUUUAAAGGUGAGGGUUCUCCAGAGUUUA
Molecule: transfer RNA, 61 nt
Filed under: Erotylinae sp. 2 ACP-2013
Lineage: Eukaryota; Metazoa; Arthropoda; Insecta; Coleoptera; Erotylidae
Description: tRNA-Cys
Source: RNAcentral